GUGCUUGCUUUGGCAGCACACAUAUUGAAAUUGGAACAAUACAGAGAAGAUUAGCAUGGCCCAUACAAAGGCUGACAUGCAAAUAUAUAACUCCCAUCAGGUAUCA
Ursus americanus (American black bear) is the source of this 106-nucleotide small nuclear RNA. Lineage: Eukaryota; Metazoa; Chordata; Mammalia; Carnivora; Ursidae. The record is from Ensembl.